AGCGCAUACGGUGGAUGCCUUGGCAGUCAGAGGCGAUGAAAGACGUGGUAGCCUGCGAAAAGCUUCGGGGAGUCGGCAAACAGACUGUGAUCCGGAGAUGUCUGAAUGGGGGAACCCAGCCAUCAUAAGAUGGUUAUCUUACACUGAAUACAUAGGUGUAAGAGGCGAACCAGGGGAACUGAAACAUCUAAGUACCCUGAGGAAAAGAAAUCAACCGAGAUUCCCUUAGUAGUGGCGAGCGAACGGGGACCAGCCCUUAAGUUGUAUUGAGAUUAGCGGAACGCUCUGGAAAGUGCGGCCAUAGUGGGUGAUAGCCCUGUACGCGAAAAUCCCUUUGCAAUGAAAUCGAGUAGGACGGGGCACGAGAAACCUUGUCUGAAUAUGGGGGGACCAUCCUCCAAGGCUAAAUACUACUGACUGACCGAUAGUGAACCAGUACCGUGAGGGAAAGGCGAAAAGAACCGCGGAGAGCGGAGUGAAAUAGAUCCUGAAACCGUAUGCGUACAAGCAGUGGGAGCCCACUUUGUUGGGUGACUGCGUACCUUUUGUAUAAUGGGUCAGCGACUUAUUUUCAGUGGCGAGCUUAACCGAAUAGGGGAGGCGUAGCGAAAGCGAGUCUUAAUAGGGCGUCUAGUCGCUGGGAAUAGACCCGAAACCGGGCGAUCUAUCCAUGGGCAGGUUGAAGGUUGGGUAACACUAACUGGAGGACCGAACCGACUACCGUUGAAAAGUUAGCGGAUGACCUGUGGAUCGGAGUGAAAGGCUAAUCAAGCUCGGAGAUAGCUGGUUCUCCUCGAAAGCUAUUUAGGUAGCGCCUCAUGUAUCACUGUAGGGGGUAGAGCACUGUUUCGGCUAGGGGGUCAUCCCGACUUACCAAACCGAUGCAAACUCCGAAUACCUACAAGUGCCGAGCAUGGGAGACACACGGCGGGUGCUAACGUCCGUCGUGAAAAGGGAAACAACCCAGACCGUCAGCUAAGGUCCCAAAGUCAUGGUUAAGUGGGAAACGAUGUGGGAAGGCUUAGACAGCUAGGAGGUUGGCUUAGAAGCAGCCACCCUUUAAAGAAAGCGUAAUAGCUCACUAGUCGAGUCGGCCUGCGCGGAAGAUGUAACGGGGCUCAAACCAUGCACCGAAGCUACGGGUAUCACCUUUGGUGAUGCGGUAGAGGAGCGUUCUGUAAGCCUGUGAAGGUGAGUUGAGAAGCUUGCUGGAGGUAUCAGAAGUGCGAAUGCUGACAUGAGUAACGACAAUGGGUGUGAAAAACACCCACGCCGAAAGACCAAGGUUUCCUGCGCAACGUUAAUCGACGCAGGGUUAGUCGGUCCCUAAGGCGAGGCUGAAAAGCGUAGUCGAUGGAAAACAGGUUAAUAUUCCUGUACUUCUGGUUAUUGCGAUGGAGGGACGGAGAAGGCUAGGCCAGCCUGGCGUUGGUAGUCCAGGUUUAAGGUGGUAGGCUGAGAUCUUAGGUAAAUCCGGGAUCUUAAGGCCGAGAGCUGAUGACGAGUGUUCUUUUAGAACAUGAAGUGGUUGAUGCCAUGCUUCCAAGAAAAGCUUCUAAGCUUCAGGUAACCAGGAACCGUACCCCAAACCGACACAGGUGGUUGGGUAGAGAAUACCAAGGCGCUUGAGAGAACUCGGGUGAAGGAACUAGGCAAAAUGGCACCGUAACUUCGGGAGAAGGUGCGCCGGUGAGGGUGAAGCAUUUACUGCGUAAGCCCACGCCGGUCGAAGAUACCAGGCCGCUGCGACUGUUUAUUAAAAACACAGCACUCUGCAAACACGAAAGUGGACGUAUAGGGUGUGACGCCUGCCCGGUGCCGGAAGGUUAAUUGAUGGGGUUAGCGCAAGCGAAGCUCUUGAUCGAAGCCCCGGUAAACGGCGGCCGUAACUAUAACGGUCCUAAGGUAGCGAAAUUCCUUGUCGGGUAAGUUCCGACCUGCACGAAUGGCGUAACGAUGGCGGCGCUGUCUCCACCCGAGACUCAGUGAAAUUGAAAUCGCUGUGAAGAUGCAGUGUAUCCGCGGCUAGACGGAAAGACCCCGUGAACCUUUACUAUAGCUUUGCACUGGACUUUGAAUUUGCUUGUGUAGGAUAGGUGGGAGGCUUUGAAGCGUGGACGCCAGUCUGCGUGGAGCCAACCUUGAAAUACCACCCUGGCAACUUUGAGGUUCUAACUCAGGUCCGUUAUCCGGAUCGAGGACAGUGUAUGGUGGGUAGUUUGACUGGGGCGGUCUCCUCCUAAAGAGUAACGGAGGAGUACGAAGGUGCGCUCAGACCGGUCGGAAAUCGGUCGUAGAGUAUAAAGGCAAAAGCGCGCUUGACUGCGAGACAGACACGUCGAGCAGGUACGAAAGUAGGUCUUAGUGAUCCGGUGGUUCUGUAUGGAAGGGCCAUCGCUCAACGGAUAAAAGGUACUCCGGGGAUAACAGGCUGAUACCGCCCAAGAGUUCAUAUCGACGGCGGUGUUUGGCACCUCGAUGUCGGCUCAUCACAUCCUGGGGCUGAAGCCGGUCCCAAGGGUAUGGCUGUUCGCCAUUUAAAGUGGUACGCGAGCUGGGUUUAGAACGUCGUGAGACAGUUCGGUCCCUAUCUGCCGUGGACGUUUGAGAUUUGAGAGGGGCUGCUCCUAGUACGAGAGGACCGGAGUGGACGAACCUCUGGUGUUCCGGUUGUCACGCCAGUGGCAUUGCCGGGUAGCUAUGUUCGGAAAAGAUAACCGCUGAAAGCAUCUAAGCGGGAAACUUGCCUCAAGAUGAGAUCUCACUGGAACCUUGA
This 2776-nucleotide ribosomal RNA is filed under the name Pseudomonas syringae pv. tomato. Its description in RNAcentral is "bacterial LSU rRNA". It matches the Rfam family "Bacterial large subunit ribosomal RNA". RNAcentral also lists the same sequence under 3 other names. Lineage: Bacteria; Pseudomonadati; Pseudomonadota; Gammaproteobacteria; Pseudomonadales; Pseudomonadaceae. The record is from RNAcentral.